UACGUAGGGGGCAAGCGUUGUCCGGAUUUAUUGGGCGUAAAGAGCGUGUAGGCGGCCAUGUAGGUCCGUUGUGAAAACUCGAGGCUCAACCUCGAGACGCCGAUGGAAACCGUAUGGCUAGAGUCCGGAAGAGGAGAGUGGAAUUCCCGGUGUAGCGGUGAAAUGCGCAGAUAUCGGGAAGAACACCCGUGGCGAAGGCGGCUCUCUGGGACGGUACUGACGCUGAGACGCGAAAGCGUGGGGAGCGAACAGG
RNAcentral lists this ribosomal RNA (253 nucleotides) under uncultured bacterium. RNAcentral describes it as "partial 16S ribosomal RNA". It matches the Rfam family "Bacterial small subunit ribosomal RNA", at positions 524 to 776 of the family's 1533-position model. The record is from RNAcentral.